AUUGAACGCUGGCGGCAUGCCUUACACAUGCAAGUCGAACGGCAGCACGGGUGCUUGCACCUGGUGGCGAGUGGCGAACGGGUGAGUAAUACAUCGGAACAUGUCCUGUAGUGGGGGAUAGCCCGGCGAAAGCCGGAUUAAUACCGCAUACGAUCUACGGAUGAAAGCGGGGGACCUUCGGGCCUCGCGCUAUAGGGUUGGCCGAUAGCUGAUUAGCUAGUUGGUGGGGUAAAGGCCUACCAAGGCGACGAUCAGUAGCUGGUCUGAGAGGACGACCAGCCACCCUGGGACUGAGACACGGCCCAGACUCCUACGGGAGGCAGCAGUGGGGAAUUUUGGACAAUGGGCGAAAGCCUGAUCCAGCAAUGCCGCGUGUGUGAAGAAGGCCUUCGGGUUGUAAAGCACUUUUGCCCGGAAAGAAAUCCUUGGCUCUAAUACAGUCGGGGGAUGACGGUACCGGAAGAAUAAGCACCGGCUAACUACGUGC
This 487-nucleotide ribosomal RNA is filed under the name uncultured bacterium. Its description in RNAcentral is "partial 16S ribosomal RNA". It matches the Rfam family "Bacterial small subunit ribosomal RNA", at positions 30 to 508 of the family's 1533-position model. The record is from RNAcentral.